Molecule: unclassified non-coding RNA, 421 nt
Filed under: soil metagenome
Description: partial contains 5.8S ribosomal RNA, internal transcribed spacer 2, and large subunit ribosomal RNA
Rfam family: 5.8S ribosomal RNA (bases 1-120)
Source: RNAcentral
GAUGAUGAACGCAGCGAAAUGCGAUACGUAAUGUGAAUUGCAGAAUUCAGUGAAUCAUCGAAUCUUUGAACGCAUAUUGCGCUCUUUGGUAUUCCGAAGAGCAUGCUUGUUUGAGUAUCAGUAAACACCUCAACCUCUUCUUGAUUUUUCAAAAGGAGGGUGGACUUGAGCUAUCCCAACAACCUUUACCGGUCGGCGGGCGGCUUGAAAUGCAGGUGCAGCUGGACUUUUAUCUGAGCUAAAAGCAUAUCUAUUUAGUCCUCGUCAAACAGGAUUAUUACUUUUGCUGCAGCUAACAUAAAGGAUAAUUGUCCUCUUUGCUGACUGAUGCAGGAUUUUACGACACUUUAUGUGUUGUUCAACUCGAUCUCAAAUCAAGUAAGACUACCCGCUGAACUUAAGCAUAUCAAUAAGCGGAGGA